Ipomoea nil (Japanese morning glory) is the source of this 293-nucleotide long non-coding RNA. RefSeq lists it as uncharacterized. The record is from RefSeq and is a predicted model, not a curated record. NCBI's taxonomy places the organism in Eukaryota, Viridiplantae, Streptophyta, Magnoliopsida, Solanales, Convolvulaceae. The transcript has 3 exons.
UGCCUGAGAUUUUUAAUAUUUUGCUUGGAAUUAAAGAUGGCUUUGCAGAACAUUGGUGCCGGCAAUAGUGAUGAUGCCUUCUACAGGUAUAAGAUGCCCAGAAUGAUUACCAAGAUAGAGGGUCGUGGUAAUGGUAUCAAGACCAAUGUUGUCAACAUGGUUGAUAUUGCAAAGACUUUGGCAAGACCAGCUUCCUAUACUACUAAGUAUUUUGGUUGUGAGCUUGGGGCUCAAUCCAAAUUUGAUGAGAAGACUAGAACUUCACUUGUGAAUGGAGCUCAUGACACUGCCAA